This 276-nucleotide long non-coding RNA is filed under the name Helianthus annuus (common sunflower). RNAcentral's name for it is "sRNA HanXRQr2_Chr08g0332041". The record is from RNAcentral. Lineage: Eukaryota; Viridiplantae; Streptophyta; Magnoliopsida; Asterales; Asteraceae.
GCAACGAAUGUGUUAGCAGGAAUAGUUGAUUUGGUUGCUUCUUUACAAAGAAACUAUAGUCAAAGCCUCUAUAUUAAUAUAUGACAAUCCUAUAAUGGACAAAAUUGUAUACUAUAAUAGUCAUCUGUAAUCAUGACACGGAUGCUAAUAUUUAACCUAUAAUUAUAAAUAUUAUUAUCAUUCAGAAAUUCUUAACUUUGAAUAUCUAAAACUUGUGAAAUGUUAUAUUGCUUUAACCAGUAGAAGUUAAAGAGUACCUCAAGAGCCCCAUUGUAC